This is a long non-coding RNA of Ricinus communis (castor bean), 2350 nucleotides long. RefSeq lists it as uncharacterized. The transcript is spliced from 2 exons. Lineage: Eukaryota; Viridiplantae; Streptophyta; Magnoliopsida; Malpighiales; Euphorbiaceae. The record is from RefSeq and is a predicted model, not a curated record.
GUUUGUUUUAAUUUCGUCAUUGCUCUUAUUAAUAUCGAUCAAUUUCUCCAUAUGUACAAUUAAAUGCUUUGAAGCCUAUAUUUAAGCAUACGACAUGCUGCAUUAUAGGUAAAGAAAAAAAAAUGAUUGAAAUGAUUUUCUUUAGCCUUUUGGUUUGAAGAAACUGAACCACAGUCUCAGAAUCCUAGCUGGAUUGCUCAUUUCCUUGUUCUAUCUUUACAGCUUUUAUAACUAUUCUUUUAUUCCUUGUAUGGCUGUGAGCACACAUUGCAUAUUCAAAUGAAACGUUAUAUUUGAUAAUAACUCCUCAAAGGGGGAGUAGUCAGUGGUCUUUUCUACUUGUAGUCUUACCCCACAGCACAGACCAUUUCGUAGCAUCCUAGGCACUAUUUAAAUUGAGCAAGUUCAGUCUAAUUAGAAUUCAAAACAAGAAAAUCCAUCAAUUCUAAUUUAAUCAAAUUGACCAUAUUUGCUCGGUUUUAUUUAUAAGAUGUUUAAAAAAUUAAAAAGAAAGACUUUAUUUUCUAAAGCAGUGAUCCUAAGAAAGGUAUCGUUAGAGAAAUACCCAUCAUUAGGUACUUAUUUUCUAUUAAGCUAGAGGACUCCAAAUAAAGAAGCCAAACCUUUUACUGUACAACCAUGAACACACACGGUAUACAUCAAUUUCUUUUUGGAAAAAGAUAUGCAAAUACCAUUUUUAUUUCUAUUUUUUGAAAGUAGGAUAAUUGAAAAGGUUUCACUUUCUCUGAAAGGCGCUUAACUUUAUGUAGCUGCUCAAAUUAUUAUACUUUUCCCAAGUUUUUUUCUCUUUUUUUUUUUUUUUCUUAAAGAACGUUUAAGAUAGUUUCAAAUAUCUUAAUGUCUGUGCUAAGGGAAGGCUGCGUUCCCAUUAUAAAGCUUUUCAGAUGAAUGGAAUAGCUUUAGAUCAUAAAAGACAUAGCAUAGAAAAACUAUAUAUAAUUACAUGAAUCAUGUCUCUCUAUUACUUUCUUCUCUAAUUUUAUGCCAAAAAUACGACUACUUCUUGAGUGCGAUUUAUUGGAAAAAGAAAAGAUGGAAUUGUUCAUAAAAAAAUGUCUUCUCAUCUUCUCUCUUUUCAAUUCCUUUUAUGCUCUUCUCUCCCUUGCUAUCAUUUUCUUACCUUAUAUGACCAUUUAUUCUCUUUCAUCAUUAAUUUCUUUUUACCAUCAAUUAUGUUUGACAAUUUUAAUUACCUUUGCAGUCUUUUAAUUAAAAAAUUCAAGAUUUUACGAUGAUUAUAUUUCUUAUAAUAAUAUUAGUAUAUAGGAUAAUAUUACUUCAAUUAUUGAAAUAAAAAAUAGUUAAACGUGAAAAUUGAAUAAUAGUUAAUAAUAAAAUAUUGAAAUAUCUCUCAACAAAUAAUAUCUAGUUUCAAUACAUAUUGAUAAUAUAAAAUUUAAUAUUUACAGUAAUAAUAUACCUAUGAAUUCUAUCAUAAUCAGUAUAAUCUUAUAAUUUACAUAUUUGUUAUUUUACAGAUUUCGGACUAUGUAUAAAAUUAUUUUAUUAAAUUUAAAUCAUGUCAGUGCUAAUAAAAAUGAAAGAGGAAAAAUAAUAAUACCACGUGCCGGGAAUCUAAUGCAGAGGAAAAUGAUAAAUCCAGCGUUGAAUUGUCUCUAAAAAGAUAUGCUUUAAAUUGUAAUACUUUUAAUUCAUCAAUAACUGCUUUGUAAUUCUAAUCAAACACUUGUAGUUCUUUCUUUCUUAAAAAAUAAAAAAACACUUUUGGCUCGAGUGUUUCAUAUUAAAAUCAGCUAAUAAGUUGCUAAACACCGAAAAAUAUGAAAAAACAAGAGAGCUAUCAUUGACUUGGGUUAUUGUUUGAUGCAUCUUAUUGGGCUUUACGUUUAGGUUGCUGAUUUUCAACAAAACACUAAAAUGGACCGGAAAGCAUUAAACCAUUCAGCGUGCCUAACAAAAUAUAAAAUCCCUAACCUAUCCUUUGAAGCCUUUCUCUCUUUUGAUUGUACGGUUUGUGUUGUGUGAGCCAGAAAGCGCGAAAAAAAAGCAGCGGAUGAACACAACCCGCCACCAUGUGACGCAUGCACAGAAGAGGUUUGAUGAGAAUAUUUGCAAGUCUGCCAAGAAAGGUUUGACACCCUCUACAAUUGGUGUUAUCCUUCGUGAUUCUCAUGGGAUUGCUCAAGUGAAGAGUGUUACUUGCAGCAAGAUUUUGCGUAUAUUGAAGGCAUACGGUAAGAAUGCUGCUUCUCUUGAAUGUUAGUUAUUUUAAUUGAACUAGAACUUCUUUUUUGUGAUUAAUUACUUUUCUGUACUUGCUUCACAUUGGCUGACUUAUGAUGUUGAUCAAUUUAAUGAUUUUAUUGUA